Molecule: ribosomal RNA, 1395 nt
Filed under: uncultured Nanobdellati archaeon
Lineage: Archaea; Nanobdellati
Description: bacterial SSU rRNA
Rfam family: Archaeal small subunit ribosomal RNA
Source: RNAcentral
CGUACGGCUCGUAACACGUAGACAAUCUACCCCCAGGUGGGGGAUAACCUCGGGAAACUGAGGCUAAUACCCCAUAGUUGUCAUGUGCUGGAAUGCUUUGACGAUGAAAGAAUUUCGCCUGAGGAUGAGUCUGCGGCCUAUCAGGUAGUAUGUGGUGUAAAGGACCACAUAGCCUAAGACGGGUACGGGCCUUGAAAGAGGGAGCCCGGAGAUGGACUCUGAGAUACUAGUCCAGGCCCUACGGGGCGCAGCAGGCGCGAAAACUGUGCAAUGCGCGCAAGCGCGACACGGGAAGCCUGAGUGCCUUAACUAUGUUAAGGCUUUUCUUGAUCCUAAAAAGCUCAAGGAAUAAGAGCUGGGUAAGACGGGUGCCAGCCGCCGCGGUAACACCCGCGGCUCGAGUGGUAGUCACUUUAUUGAGCCUAAAGCGUUUGUAGCCGGAUUUGUAAAUCUCUAGGAAAAUACUUCUGCUUAACUGAAGAAAUUUUGGAGAGACUGCAAAUCUAGGGACCGGGUGAGGUUGAAUGUACUUCUGGGGUAGGGGUAAAAUCCUGUAAUCCUGGAAGGACGACCGGUGGCGAAGGCGUUCAACUAGAACGGAUCCGACGGUGAGGAACGAAGGCUAGGGGAGCAAACCGGAUUAGAUACCCGGGUAGUCCUAGCUGUAAACACUGCCCACUUGGUGUUGCAUCUCCGGUAAGGGGGUGCAGUGCCGUAGCGAAGGUGUUAAGUGGGCCGCUUGGGGAGUAUGGUCGCCAAGGCUGAAACUUAAAGGAAUUGGCGGGGGAGCACCGCAACGGGAGGAGCGUGCGGUUUAAUUGGAUUCAACGCCGGAAAACUCACCGGAGGCGACCUGUGUAUGAGAGUCAACCUGAUGAAUUUACUCGAUAGCAGGAGAGGUGGUGCAUGGCCGUCGUCAGCUCGUACCGUAGGGCGUUCACUUAAGUGUGAUAACGAGCGAGACCCCCAUCUUCAAUUGCUAAGCUAACCGUGAGGUUGGUAGAACUUUGAAGGGACCGCCAGUGCAGAACUGGAGGAAGGAGGGGUCGACGGCAGGUCAGUACGCCCCGAAUCUUCCGGGCAACACGCGCGCUACAAAGGACAGGACAAUGGGCUGCGACCUCGAAAGGGGAAGCCAAUCCCGAAACCUGUUCGUAGUUAGGAUUGAGGGCUGUAACUCGCCCUCAUGAAUCUGGAUUCCGUAGUAAUCGCGGGUCAACAUCCCGCGGUGAAUAUGCCCCUGCCCCUUGCACACACCGCCUGUCAAACCAUCCGAGCUGGUGUUGGAUGAGGGUUAGUUCGAAAGGGUUGAUUCGAAUCUGAUGUCAGUGAGGAGGGUUAAGUCAUAACAAGGUAUCCGUAGGGGAACCUGCGGAUAGAUCACCUCAAAAGGGC